This 21-nucleotide non-coding RNA is filed under the name Caenorhabditis elegans. Lineage: Eukaryota; Metazoa; Nematoda; Chromadorea; Rhabditida; Rhabditidae. The record is from RNAcentral.
GAGAAAUAUAGGAACUUUUUC